GCCCCGCGUUCUUUCCGGGGUCUCUCCGGAGAUGAGGGCGGCAGGGCAGGGGGUUCUCUCCCCGCAGUACCAUGCUGAGAAAGCCUGGGUUCGUAUGGCAAGUUGGUUCCUUACAAUUCACUACGUUACGCCGCGUCUCUAGCCCCCUUCUCUCCCGCAAGACGUUAGAAAAAAGCGAAGGACUCAUCACUGUCUUAACAUUUACUGGGCUCUUGCACGGUGUCGGGCGAGGAGUUACUCUUCAAUAAAAACGGACACUCCUGAGGAGCUGAGUCAAGAUGGCACAGCGGGAAGACCCUGAGUUCACCUCCUCUCACGGGCACACCAAAAAUGACAACUAUUUAUAGAGCAACUAUUGAUGAGAAAGACUGGAAUCUACCGGAAAAGAUGCUCUACAACUAGAAAUAUAAAGAAGGAACCUCAACAAAACAGGUGUGGUUGGGGGAGGAUGUGGUAUAGUCAAGACCCAUAUCCCUGAAUGGGCAACCCACAAACAAGAGGAUAAUUACAAUUUCAGAGUUCUCCCCAAGGAGCAAGGGGUCUAAGCCCCACAUCAGGCUCCCCAACCUGGGGGGCCUGCACUGGGAGGACAAGCCCCCCAGAACACCUGGGUUUGAAGGCCAGUGGGGCUUGAUUUUAGGCGACCCAGAGGCUGUGGGAAACAAAGACUCCACUUUUAAAGGGCUUUCACAAGAUCUCACACCUUCUGGGACCCAGGGUAGAGCAGUAAUUUGAAAGGAGCCUGGGUCAGACUCACCUGCUGAUCUUGGAGAGGCUCCUAGAGAGGCAGGAGGCAACUGGAGCUCACCCUGGGGACAUCGACGCUGGUGGCAGCCAUUUUUUGAAGCUUGUUCUGUCACAUGGACACGGGUGCUGGCAGGGACCAUUUUGUAAUCUUCCCUCUAGCUUAUUAGCCUCAGGACUGCCCAGCCCUGCCCACCAGCCUGCAGGCACCAAUACUGGAAUGCCGCAGGCUAAGCAACUAGCUGGGGGGGG
This is a long non-coding RNA of Aethalodelphis obliquidens (Pacific white-sided dolphin), 996 nucleotides long. RefSeq lists it as uncharacterized. Lineage: Eukaryota; Metazoa; Chordata; Mammalia; Artiodactyla; Delphinidae. The transcript has 2 exons. The record is from RefSeq and is a predicted model, not a curated record.